RNAcentral lists this ribosomal RNA (359 nucleotides) under uncultured Streptococcus sp. Its description in RNAcentral is "bacterial SSU rRNA". It matches the Rfam family "Bacterial small subunit ribosomal RNA", at positions 1022 to 1382 of the family's 1533-position model. The record is from RNAcentral. Lineage: Bacteria; Bacillati; Bacillota; Bacilli; Lactobacillales; Streptococcaceae.
CUGGACAGAAAGACAGGUGGUGCAUGGUUGUCGUCAGCUCGUGUCGUGAGAUGUUGGGUUAAGUCCCGCAACGAGCGCAACCCUACGGUUAGUUGCUAACGGGUAAGGCCGAGCACUUUAGCCGAACUGCCGUUGACAAAACGGAGGAAGGUGGGAUGACGUCAAAUCAUCAUGCCCCUUAUGACCUGGGCUACACACGUGCUACAAUGGUUGGUACAACGAGUUGCGAGUCGGUGACGGCGAGCUAAUCUCUUAAAGCCAAUCUCAGUUCGGAUUGUAGGCUGCAACUCGCCUACAUGAAGUCGGAAUCGCUAGUAAUCGCGGAUCAGCACGCCGCGGUGAAUACGUUCCCGGGCCUU